AUACGUAGGUGACAAGCGUUAUCCGGAUUUACUGGGUGUAAAGGGCGUGUAGGCGGUUUAGCAAGUCAGAAGUGAAAUUCCCGGGCUUAACUUGGGCGCUGCUUCUGAAACUGCUUUACUUGAGUGCUGGCGAGGAUAGUGGAAUUCCUAGUGUAGCGGUAAAAUGCGCAGAUAUUAGGAGGAACACCGGUGGCGAAGGCGGCUAUCUGGACAGUAACUGACGCUGAGGCGCGAAAGCACGGGGAGCAAACAGGAUUAGAUACCCUGGUAGUCCGUGCCGUAAACGAUGAAUACUAGGUGUAGGGGGUAUCGACUCCCUCUGUGCCGCAGUUAACACAUUAAGUAUUCCACCUGGGGAGUACGGCCGCAAGGUUGAAACUUAAAGGAAUUGACGGGG
This 397-nucleotide ribosomal RNA is filed under the name uncultured bacterium. RNAcentral describes it as "partial 16S ribosomal RNA". It matches the Rfam family "Bacterial small subunit ribosomal RNA", at positions 523 to 918 of the family's 1533-position model. The record is from RNAcentral.